Long non-coding RNA from Malus domestica (apple), 358 nucleotides. RefSeq lists it as uncharacterized. The record is from RefSeq and is a predicted model, not a curated record. Lineage: Eukaryota; Viridiplantae; Streptophyta; Magnoliopsida; Rosales; Rosaceae.
GAAACAGUCUUUGGAAUUCAAAGCCUAUCUUGAACCAAACAUUUGAUUAGUCACUACAAAAACUGUUGAUGUAUAUCGUUCAUCAAAGAGUUCUAUAUGACCACUUGUUUUCAAGGCACAAAAUAUGGCAGAUCCUUACAUUCAGGAAGCUAAGAAAUAUACCGAGCCAUACAUUGAUCGGGUUGCAAUGGUGACAAAAACACAUUUAGAUAAAUUACAAGAAAGAAAAUGCCAAUGCAGUUCUCCUUGUUGCAAGCCAGGAGGAUAGGGAAAAACUAUUUGAAGGAAUACUUAAACAGAAAUGGAAGAUCUUCUCUUGAUGAUCAUCUUCAUUAAUUCAUUUAUGGAGCAGCAGAGA